CCUACGGGAGGCUGCAGUGGGGAAUAUUGCACAAUGGGGGAAACCCUGAUGCAGCGACGCCGCGUGAGUGAAGAAGUCUUUCGGUAUGUAAAGCUCUAUCAGCAGGGAAGAAAAUGACGGUACCUGACUAAGAAGCCCCGGCUAACUACGUGCCAGCAGCCGCGGGAAUACGUAGGGGGCAAGCGUUAUCCGGAUUUACUGGGUGUAAAGGGAGCGCAGACGGCUGUGCAAGUCUGGAGUGAAAGGCGGGGGCCCAACCCCCGGACUGCUCUGGAAACUGUAAAGCUGGAGUGCAGGAGAGGUAAGCGGAAUUCCUAGUGUAGCGGUGAAAUGCGUAGAUAUUAGGAGGAACACCAGUGGCGAAGGCGGCUUACUGGACUGCAACUGACGUUGAGGCUCGAAAGCGUGGGGAGCAAACAGGAUUAGAUACCCGAGUAGUC
This 440-nucleotide ribosomal RNA is filed under the name uncultured bacterium. RNAcentral describes it as "partial 16S ribosomal RNA". It matches the Rfam family "Bacterial small subunit ribosomal RNA", at positions 338 to 795 of the family's 1533-position model. The record is from RNAcentral.